GCAGCAACGCCGCGUGCGGGAUGAAGGCCUUCGGGUUGUAAACCGCUUUCAGCAGGGACGAAACUGACGGUACCUGCAGAAGAAGCCCCGGCUAACUACGUGCCAGCAGCCGCGGUAAUACGUAGGGGGCUAGCGUUAUCCGGAUUCAUUGGGCGUAAAGCGCGCGUAGGCGGGCUGUUAAGUCAGAUGUGAAAACCGGGGGCUCAACCCGCGGCCUGCAUCUGAAACUGGCAGUCUCGAGUCUGGUAGAGGAAAGUGGAAUUCCCAGUGUAGCGGUGAAAUGCGCAGAUAUUGGGAGGAACACCAGUGGCGAAGGCGGCUUUCUGGGGCACGACUGACGCUGAGGCGCGAAAGCUAGGGGAGCAAACAGGAUUAGAUACCCUGGUAGUCCUAGCCGUAAACGAUGGGCACUAGGUGUGGGAGGUCAUCGAUCCCUUCCGUGCCGCAGCUAACGCAUUAAGUGCCCCGCCUGGGGAGUACGGCCGCAAGGUUAAAAC
This 497-nucleotide ribosomal RNA is filed under the name uncultured bacterium. RNAcentral's name for it is "bacterial SSU rRNA". It matches the Rfam family "Bacterial small subunit ribosomal RNA", at positions 388 to 900 of the family's 1533-position model. The record is from RNAcentral.